This 377-nucleotide ribosomal RNA is filed under the name uncultured bacterium. Its description in RNAcentral is "bacterial SSU rRNA". It matches the Rfam family "Bacterial small subunit ribosomal RNA", at positions 521 to 896 of the family's 1533-position model. The record is from RNAcentral.
UAAUACGGAGGGGGCGAGCGUUAUUCGGAAUUACUGGGCGUAAAGCGCGCGCAGGUGGCUGGGUAAGUGGCAGGUGAAAUCCCUUGGCUCAACCGAGGAACUGCCUGCCAAACUGCUCUGCUUGAGGCCGGGAGGGGGAAGCGGAAUUCCUGGUGUAGCGGUGAAAUGCGUAGAUACCAGGAGGAACACCGGUGGCGAAGGCGGCUUCCUGGACCGGUUCUGACACUCAUGCGCGAAAGCGUGGGGAGCAAACAGGAUUAGAUACCCUGGUAGUCCACGCCCUAAACGAUGGGCACUAGGCGUCGCGGGUGUCGACCCCUGCGGUGCCGUAGCUAACGCGUUAAGUGCCCCGCCUGGGGAGUACGGUCGCNAGGCUG